ACCUGGAUGUUACCCAGGCUGGCCACCAAUGAAUUUUGCUUAUGAGACCUCGUUCCAAGUUUCCCACGGAUGGAUCUACAAACUGGUGUCUCGCUAAUGCUGUGCUGCUGGAUUUCCUCCUGCUGAUCUUUUCCUGGAUUCAACCUCCGAUCCUGCCUCCACGAAACCUGUCCACCCUCCACCGCUCCACUCGUGCCCACAAUACAAUCCUCCAAACACCGUUAACGCCCAAGGGACUAAGUAUCUUGGCAUAACUCACCUCCGUAGUCCCAUGCUGUUUCCUCCGGCCCGACUCCCUCUCCUCCUGGCGGUUUGUCAACAACCAACUAGUAAGAAACAGAACCCCAUCAGUUUCCCAUCUUAGUUACCGUCAUUUUACCUAUGCUUUCUUCAUUACAGCUUUGCCUACUAUGCCAAGACCGUACUUACUUCUGUGCUUUCAAUAAAUCUGUUAAACACUUCCUGGUUUCCUUUGAGCGUUUACUGCAUGUGGGUCAGAACUAUCCGUAAAACGAUGACAGAACAUUCGAGCCAACCCGACCCAGCAGAAACGCUCAGGGGAGUCCUUUCAGACCACACUCACCUUAUUCAGACCCACGAUUCCACUUUAUGUACUCUCGCUGAAAAACAGAGACUAACCAAUGUUCAGCUUGAACAAUUAACAUCCAUGUUCCAGCACUCCCUGAGCAGCUCCACCGCCCCGCCUGUCGAGGUUGCUGCAGCAGCCCCCGUCACUCAGCAACUAACCUUAGUCCGGACAAGUAUUCCGGUCCGCGCUGACCCGGAGAAGGUCAGAGCAGUACUGGAGUGGCCCGUUCCCGACUAGAGGAAGCAGUUGCAAAGGUUCCUUCUACUUCUACUGCAGAUUUAUCCGAAACUACAGCCAGACGGCAGCACCUCUGACUGCGUUGACUUCUACCAAGACCAGUUUCCAUUGGACUCCUGCUGCUGAUCAGGCCUUCAGGAGUCUUCAGGAGAAAUUCGUCCAGGCUCCCAUCUUGAUUCACCCAGAUUCCUCUAGACAGUUCGUGCUGGAGGUUGAUGCUUCGGACUCUGGAGUGGGAGCAGUACUCUCUCAACGAUCGAGUGAGGAUAGUAAACUUCAUCCUUGUGGUUUCUUUUUGCACCGGCUCAGCCAAACUGACCGUAACUAUGAUGUCGGAGAUAGAGAACUGUUAGCCAUUUAGUUGGCUUUAGAGGAGUGGAGACAUUGGUUGGAGGUGGCUACUCAUCUUAUUCUAGUCUGGACCGACCACAAGAACCUAGCUUAUUUACAGACAGCUAAGAGACUGAACCCCAGACAGGCACGCUGGUCACUAUUUUUCUCUCGUUUUAACCUCUCCAUCUCUUUCAGACUGGGGAGUAAGAAUGCGAAGCCUGAAGCACUCUCCCGACUGAUCGCAUCAGAUGAUUCGGAGAGAGUCCCUGAGCCCGUUGUCUCCCCUACCUGGGUCAUUGGGGCUGUCUCCUGGGAGAUUGAGGAACUAGUUAAUCAUGCUCUGAGAACUGAGCCUGACCCGGGAACAGGCCCUAAGAAGAGAACUUUUGUCCCAGCCUCAGUCAGAGCACGAGUUAUCCAAUGGUUCCACACUGCUAUGUUCGCCGCACAUCCGGGAAUAAGUAGAACCAUUGCAUUGAUUAAAAGAUGUUUUUGGUGGCCCUCUCUGCACCAGGACAUCAGGGAAUGGGUUCUCGCCUGCACGGUUUGUUCUAGGAGUAAGAGUAGCAACCAACCACCGUCUAGGUUACUUCAACCACUGAACAUUCCCAGGCGUCCCUUGUCGCAUAUAGCUUUGGACUUUGUAACCAGGUUACCUUCAUCCAGAGGCAUGACUGUCAUUUUGACUAUUAUAGAUUGUUUUUCUAAAGCUGGUCACCUCGUACCGUUGAGGAAGCUUCCCUCGGCUUUCCAGACAGCUCAGCUCCUCAUCAAACAUGUUAUGCAGCUACAGGGUAUACCCCAGGAUAUUUUAUCUGACUGAGGGCCCCAGUUUGUCUCCCAAGUCUGGCGCCAGUUUUGCUCCGCUUUGGGAGCCAAGUUGUCGCUCACCUCGGGUUACCACCCCCAGUCUAACGGCCAGGUUGAGAGACUCAACCAACAACUCGAGUCCACGCUCAGGUGCGUUACCUCCUCCUCUCCGUUAGACUGGACUGAGCAUCUUAACUGGGUAGAGUAUGCCAUAAAUUCUCAGGUUUCGUCUGCUACUGGUGUUUCCCCGUUUGAAGCCUCUUUAGGGUAUCAGUUGCCCCUUUUUGCAGCGGAUGAGCGUGACGUAGCCGUUACCUCUGUCCAUCACCAUGUUCGCCGGUGCACGCUUAUUUGGAGAAGGACUGUUGAAGCACUCCAACGCACCGCUGCCCAGAACAAGCGCAUUGCUGACCGCAAGAGGCGUCCCGCCCCGGUUUAUCAGCCAGGACAGAGAGUCUGGUUGUCCUCUCAGGACAUCCCAAUGAAGGCGAUGUCUAAGAAGCUGUCCCCUCGGUUUAUUGGUCCUUAUGUCAUCGAGUCCCUCAUUGGUCCUUCUGCCGUUCGUCUUUGGUUACCAUCCUCCUUACAUGUUCACCCCACUUUUCAUGUAUCUCAGGUUAAGCCGUUCAUUGUCAACAAUUUUUGAGACAAGUGUUCUCCAUUCACCGGUGAUGAGGCUCCUGGAGUAUUUAAGCAGGAGGCAGCCAGCAUGUCAGCGCUCGAGUGUUAGCCUUCAGUGGUAUUAUCCAAGCCGACCUUUGAGCCGCUUCUCGUAUUGCUUGCUUCGACUUUGUUAACCUAUUUUGUCUUUUCAGUAUACCAUGUUGGUGACUACCUGGAUGUUACCCAGGCUGGCCACCAAUGGAUUUUGCUUAUGAGACCUCGUUCCAAGUUUCCCACGGAUGGAUCUACAAACUGGUGUCUCGCUAAUGCUGUGCUGCUGGAUUUCCUCCUGCUGAUCUUUUCCUGGAUUCGACCCCCGAUCCUGCCUCCACAAAACCUGUCCACCCUCCACCGCUCCACUUGUGCCCACCAUACAAUCCUCCAAACACCGUUAACGUCCAAGGGACUUAGUAUCUUGGCAGAACUCACCUCUGUAGUCCCACGCUGUUUCCUCCGGCCCGACUCCCUCUCCUCCUGGCGGUUUGUCAACAACCAACUAGUAAGAAACAGAACACCAUUAGUUUCCCAUCUUAGUUACCGUCUUAACUUACCUAUGCUUUCUUACUUACAGCUUUGCCUAUUGUGCCAAGACCGUACUUACUUCUGUGCUUUCAAUAAAUCUGUUAAACGCUU
This is a long non-coding RNA of Girardinichthys multiradiatus, 3265 nucleotides long. RefSeq lists it as uncharacterized. The record is from RefSeq and is a predicted model, not a curated record. NCBI's taxonomy places the organism in Eukaryota, Metazoa, Chordata, Actinopteri, Cyprinodontiformes, Goodeidae. The transcript is spliced from 2 exons.